Non-coding RNA from Danio rerio (zebrafish), 820 nucleotides. Lineage: Eukaryota; Metazoa; Chordata; Actinopteri; Cypriniformes; Danionidae. The record is from RefSeq and is a predicted model, not a curated record.
CCCAUGUUUAUAUGUUAAAUUGCACUUGUCUCUCUCUCUAUCUCUGUUAACACAUUUAUAUUUGUUUGAUUAAUUCUUGUGUCUUUCAGCCUGUUUCUGCCUAUCACCAUUCCUCAAUACUCAGAUUUAUCAUCAAGAUCUCAAUUAUAAGCUCAAGUUUUGAUGACAACUUGGUGAUCUGCAGAAAGCACCACCAUGUAAGGAAGGCCAAGACCACUCUGGAAUCAGUCAAGGGUGAAAUGGAGUGAGGCAUACCAGGAUAUGCCUGGUUUUACUUUUGGGAAGGAGGUUGAACAGUGCAAUAUUUCUUCUAUAGGCUUGCAGUGACCAGACAUGCUACUGUAACUCUCAUGGUCAUGUGCUGGAAUUAGCAGAUAUUCAACAAUUUGGCCAUCUCGCUGACCUGUUGAUAUCAGAAGACCGCAACAGCUCUGCAAAGCAAGUUGCAAAACAGAAUCCAUGAAACUGGCAGUGACUGGAAACCAGUUGGAAGACUUUGGUCUGUGAUGUAGAGGAGUGGGCAGAGGUAGCAGAAGCAAAGACAACAAAAAGAAGAAGUGAUGUGGAUGUCUUCGUCAUAUUGCAUGACUCUGCUGACCCAGCAACAAAGAGGAGGGUGUUCAACAUCAUCCUGCUAGUCAGGAUUCUUCAGGAGAAGCAGUGGAUUCUUGUGGCAGAGAUGGUCAACCACUAUAAAUACCUUUCAACUCAUCCUGGUUCUUUCAAAGAACUUUCCUGCUUGUUUGCUACUGAAAUGUACUGAUUCGACAUGUGGCCUUAACGAAGAGGGGUUAAAAGGUCUAUGGAUCAUCAUUCUCAG